This 1462-nucleotide ribosomal RNA is filed under the name uncultured Bordetella sp. RNAcentral describes it as "partial 16S-23S ribosomal RNA intergenic spacer". It matches the Rfam family "Bacterial small subunit ribosomal RNA". Lineage: Bacteria; Pseudomonadati; Pseudomonadota; Betaproteobacteria; Burkholderiales; Alcaligenaceae. The record is from RNAcentral.
GUUCGAUCAUAGCUCAGAGUUGAACGCUGGCGGGAUGCUUUACACAUGCAAGUCGAACGGCAGCACGGACUUCGGUCUGGUGGCAGUGGUGGCGAACGGGUGAGUAAUGUAUCGGAACGUGCCCUAGUAGCGGGGGAUAACUACGCGAAGCGUAGCUAAUACCGCAUACGCCCUUCGAAGCGGGGCCUUCGGGCCUCGCACUAUUAAACGGCCGAUAUCCGGAUUAGCUGAUUGGUGGGGUAACGGCUCACCAAGGCGACGAUCCGUAGCUGGUUUGAAGGACGACCAGCCACACUGGGACCGAGACACGGCCCAGACUCCUACGGAGGCAGCAGUGAAAUUUUGGACAAUGGAAACCUGAUCAGCCAUCCCCGCGUGUGCGAUGAAGGCCUUCGGUUGUAAAGCACUUUUGGCGGAAAGAAACAGCGGGAUAAUACCCCGUGCAACUGACGGUACCUGCAGAAUAAGCACCGGCUAACUACGUGCCAGCAGCCGCGAUACGGCAGGGUGCAAGCGUUAAUCGGAAUUACUGGGCGUAAAGCGUGCGCGAGCGGUUCAGAAAGAAAAGAAUGUGAAAUCCAGAGCUUAACUUUGGAACUUACAUUUUUAACUACCGAGCUAGAGUGUGUCAGAGAGUGGAAUUCGCGUGUAGCAGUGAAAUGCGUAGAUAUGCGGAGGAACACCGAUGGCGAAGGCAGCCUCGCAGAUAACACUGACGCUCAUGCACGAAAGCGGUAGGGAGCAAACAGGAUUAGAUACCUGGUAGUCCACGCCUAAACGAUGUCAACUAGCUGUUGGGGCCUUCCGGGCCUUGGUAGCGCAACUAACGCGUGAAGUUGACCGCCUGGGGAGUACGGUCGCAAGAUUAAAACUCAAAGGAAUUGACGGGGACCCGCACAAGCGGUGGAUGAUGUGGGUCGAAUUUCGUGCCAACACGAAAAACCUUACCUACCCUUGACAUGUCUGGAAUCCCGAAGAGGGCCAGGGUGCUCGCAAGAGAACCGGAACACAGGUGCUGCAUGGCUGUCGUCAGCUCGUGUCGUGAGAUGUUGGGUUAAGUCCCGCAACAGGCGCAACCCUUGUCAUUAGUUGCUACGAAAGGGCACUCUAAUGAGACUACCGGUGACAAACCGGAGAAGGUGGGGAUGACGUCAAGUCUCCCUUAUGGGUAGGGCUUCACACGUCAUACAAUGGUCGGAGACAGAGGUCGCCAACCCGCGAGGGGAGCCAAUCCCAGAAACCCGAAAUCCGUAGUCCGGAUCGCAGUCUGCAACUCGACUGCGUGAAGUCGGAAAUCGCCUGUAAUCGCGGAUCAACGUAAUAUGCGGUGAAUACAUUAGGGUCUUGUACACACCAACCGUCACACCAAAUUGGGUUUACCAGAAGUAGUUAGCCCUAGCCGUAAGGAGAGGCAGUUACCACAGUAGGGAUUCAUGACUGGGGUGAAGUCGUAACAAGGUAG